This 404-nucleotide ribosomal RNA is filed under the name Actinomycetes bacterium. Its description in RNAcentral is "Actinobacteria bacterium partial 16S ribosomal RNA". It matches the Rfam family "Bacterial small subunit ribosomal RNA", at positions 355 to 776 of the family's 1533-position model. Lineage: Bacteria; Bacillati; Actinomycetota; Actinomycetes. The record is from RNAcentral.
UGGGGAAUAUUGGACAAUGGGCGCAAGCCUGAUCCAGCCAUGCCGCGUGAGUGAUGAAGGCCCUAGGGUUGUAAAGCUCUUUCACCGGUGAAGAUAAUGACGGUAACCGGAGAAGAAGCCCCGGCUAACUUCGUGCCAGCAGCCGCGGUAAUACGAAGGGGGCUAGCGUUGUUCGGAUUUACUGGGCGUAAAGCGCACGUAGGCGGACUUUUAAGUCAGGGGUGAAAUCCCGGGGAUCAACCCCGGAACUGCCUUUGAUACUGGAAGUCUUGAGUAUGGUAGAGGUGAGUGGAAUUCCGAGUGUAGAGGUGAAAUUCGUAGAUAUUCGGAGGAACACCAGUGGCGAAGGCGGCUCACUGGACCAUUACUGACGCUGAGGUGCGAAAGCGUGGGGAGCAAACAGG